RNAcentral lists this ribosomal RNA (17 nucleotides) under Psammosilene tunicoides. RNAcentral's name for it is "partial 18S ribosomal RNA". Lineage: Eukaryota; Viridiplantae; Streptophyta; Magnoliopsida; Caryophyllales; Caryophyllaceae. The record is from RNAcentral.
GACAUUGUCGAAACUGC